GGGUUGUGAGGUUAAGCGACUAAGCGUACACGGUGGAUGCCCUGGCAGUCAGAGGCGAUGAAGGGCGUGCUAAUCUGCGAUAAGCGCCGGUAAGGUGAUAUGAACCGUUAUAACCGGCGAUACCCGAAUGGGGAAACCCAGUGUGAUUCGUCACACUAUCAUUAACUGAAUCCAUAGGUUAAUGAGGCGAACCGGGGGAACUGAAACAUCUAAGUACCCCGAGGAAAAGAAAUCAACCGAGAUUCCCCCAGUAGCGGCGAGCGAACGGGGAGGAGCCCAGAGCCUGAAUCAGCAUGUGUGUUAGUGGAAGCGUCUGGAAAGGCGCGCGAUACAGGGUGACAGCCCCGUACACAAAAGCGCAUAUGCUGUGAGCUCGAUGAGUAGGGCGGGACACGUGGUAUCCUGUCUGAAUAUGGGGGGACCAUCCUCCAAGGCUAAAUACUCCUGACUGACCGAUAGUGAACCAGUACCGUGAGGGAAAGGCGAAAAGAACCCCGGCGAGGGGAGUGAAAAAGAACCUGAAACCGUGUACGUACAAGCAGUGGGAGCCCCACCACUAAGCCAGUGGUGAACUCCACAUACGCAUCCUUUGCUGAGGAUACGGUUAACGGAGCGAAAGCGACGUUCAACCUCAAAAGAAGCAGAGGGGGCUUAGUGGUGGGGUGACUGCGUACCUUUUGUAUAAUGGGUCAGCGACUUAUAUUCUGUAGCAAGGUUAACCGAAUAGGGGAGCCGGAGGGAAACCGAGUCUUAAUUGGGCGUUAAGUUGCAGGGUAUAGACCCGAAACCCGGUGAUCUAGCCAUGGGCAGGUUGAAGGUUGGGUAACACUAACUGGAGGACCGAACCGACUAAUGUUGAAAAAUUAGCGGAUGA
RNAcentral lists this ribosomal RNA (874 nucleotides) under Salmonella enterica. RNAcentral's name for it is "partial 23S ribosomal RNA". It matches the Rfam family "Bacterial large subunit ribosomal RNA", at positions 1 to 807 of the family's 2925-position model. Lineage: Bacteria; Pseudomonadati; Pseudomonadota; Gammaproteobacteria; Enterobacterales; Enterobacteriaceae. The record is from RNAcentral.